GUGCACCAGGCGAGAAACCUCCGCAAUGCUCGAAAGAGCGACGGGGGGACUCCAAGUGCCUACGCUUUGCGUAGGCUUUUCCCAAGCCUAAAAAGCUUGGGGAAUAAGGGCUGGGUAAGACGGGUGCCAGCCGCCGCGGUAAUACCCGCAGCCCGAGUGGUGGCCGCUUUUAUUGGGCCUAAAGCGUCCGUAGCCGGUCUGGUAAAUGCCUGGGUAAAUCGUCUGGCUCAACCAGACGAAUUCCGGGUAGACUGCCAGACUAGGGACCGGAGGAAGGAGAGGGGUACUCCGGGGGUAGGGGUGAAAUCCUGUAAUCCUCGGAGGACCACCGGUGGCGAAGGCGCUCUCCUAGGACGGGUCCGACGGUGAGGGACGAAAGCCAGGGGAGCAAACCGGAUUAGAUACCCCGGUAGU
This 414-nucleotide ribosomal RNA is filed under the name uncultured microorganism. Its description in RNAcentral is "bacterial SSU rRNA". It matches the Rfam family "Archaeal small subunit ribosomal RNA", at positions 330 to 745 of the family's 1478-position model. The record is from RNAcentral.